Long non-coding RNA from Neofelis nebulosa (Clouded leopard), 2870 nucleotides. RefSeq lists it as uncharacterized. The transcript has 3 exons. The record is from RefSeq and is a predicted model, not a curated record. Lineage: Eukaryota; Metazoa; Chordata; Mammalia; Carnivora; Felidae.
CAGGCGAAGGCUUGGACGCGAGAGGUGACUUAACAGUUUCGGGGGAGAGCCCCGGGCUUCGGGCGCGACCCAAGGAGGGAGGAGAGACGGGGAGCGCUCGGGACCCGAACUUCCUUCGGGCCCGGGCCCCGCAGACGCCUUGGGGGUGAUCUGUUCGCGGGCCUCCACCGUCAUUGCACUUGCCCCCACCCCCACCCCCGAGCCCGUUAAUUCGGCUCCUUGCACUCUGGACGUUCGGUGGAAGUAAAAAUAAGUUUUUAAGGCGUGAAUUGGACAGCUGGGUACUUGUAGAGGGAGUUGGGGCAAGUCGGGGUGUACUGCGACCUUUUCCCUCCCUACGCCGCCUCUCCAGCAUUUUUGUCUCCCUUCUUAUGCCUGGGCCCUUCCCAAGGGGAGAGAGGGUGCACUGCGGCCCGAGGGCUUGAGGUUGGACUUUCAGAAGAACUUCCCAAAAUCGUUUCGUGAGAAUGGGUGGGGGUGAGCUACAGUGGGAAGGUGUCCUUUUCUGCAGGGCCUUGGAAACCCAAACUCUGAACUGGGUUGUGAGGUAAAGUCCUGCCUGGAGGCGGGGAACAGAGAGAUGAGGUGACCUCACAGAGCUGCCACUGUGAGGCCUUGAGGGCCGGGCCGGUGAAGCCCAGUUCCCUCAGCUGGUUCUUGGAAAGAGGAGAUUUGAACAGCAGGAGGCUGGGGGCCAGAGUGCAGGAUCCCAGGAGGGGCAGGGCUCUUGCUCCCGAUCAGCAGAAGAUCAAAGGGAGGGGAACCAUGGCCAGGCACCCCUGGAGGGCCCCAGAGUUGGUGCCCCCUGCACUGGGGAUUUGAGCGAACAUUAACAGCAAGUUUUAGGGCUUGAGCGGCAGAGGGAGUGGAGAGGGUCCCACUGAGACUCCAGACAGAAAACAGAAAACCGAGGCAGGAAAAGCCAACGUGACCGUGUGCCCCUGGAGGGCAGGGUGCGUGCGUGAGUGGCACUUGGGUCACGUGCAGGAGCGUGUGCCUGCAGAUGGUCUGGGGUAUGUCCACCCACAGUGGGGACCACCAGACUGCCCAGUGCCCAGCACGCAGCCCUGCCCAGAGCAGAAGCUCAGUAAGAGGGCGUCCAGUUAACUGCAUAUUCGAAGUUUCAUGGUGUGAGAGGAAGGAGCAAUCCUCUGGAGGCAGACAUGCUUCCUGAGUAGUCGGGUGCCGCCGAGCCUUGGUUUCCUCGUCUCUGAAAUGGAAAAACAAGCCCCCAGCACAGUGCCUGACUCAAGAUAAGUGUUCGGUCGAUGUUAGCGCUCUGGCCCUGUUGUUCUCUCCUCGCAGUGGACUUUGGCUAGAUUGCGCUCUUCGUUAAUUAAUUUUCAUUCAUUCCUUCUUUCAGCUAACUGGUUCCUUUUGAGCUCUUAGGAUGUGCCAGGCCCUGGAGGAGAUCCUGACCCACUGUGAGUCACUCAAAGCCAGUUCUAGAUCUGGCCUCGUAGAAAAAAAGAUUAUCCCAAACAACCAGCAGAUAAUUCCAAAAAUAAUUCCUGUCGAGUGCUGGGAUGCAAGCAAAUUCUGUCUCCGUGGCUGGCACGGGCAGGCUUCUAGCCCCGGGCCUGAGGAACAAAGGCCUCCGUGGAGCCGUUGAGUUGUCUGGGUGUGCAGUGCGUGGCUCAGUCCAGGUGUAUCUGUGUGCGUCUCCCUGUGUGCACACAGGCCUGGCUACGAAACCCGGCAGGACAGCAGAGUGGCCCAGGGUUUGUGUGGCGGCUCAGGACAGCAGUGGGGUAGGGUGAUCCAGACCGUGCUCGUCUGUGUGUGGAGCUCUGUCCCUUCUCUUCUCUUUUCUCUCUCUCUCUCUCUUUUUUUUUUAUAAGUGUAUUUAUUUAUUUUGAGAGAGAGAGAUAGAGAGUGCCAGUGGGGCUGGGGUGGCAGAGAGAGAGGGAGAGAGAGAGAAUCCCAAGCAGGCUCUGCACUGUCAGUGUGGAGCCUGCUGUGGAGCUCGAACUCAUGAACCAUGAGAUCGUGACCUGAGCUGAAAUCAAGAGUCGGACGCUUAACUAACCGAGCCACCCAGGCACCUCCCUUCUCUUUUCUGGGCAAACGUGGGCACCCUUUGUCACCACCUGUCCAAGUACCAAGGGAUGGGGCACAUACCUAGCUCUUGUGCACCCCCCCACCCCAUGCCCUAGUCCCGGAGCCCCAGGGAGGCUGCCCCACCAAGUUGGCUGGCCCUUAUGGAGGUCCUCUUAGCCAUCUCCCCCGUCCUCUCCAUCUGUCCUCAUCAGAGGAGCCUCCUCUCCUAUGUGUUACGGGGUCUCCAUUUUCUUUUCCUAACACCCCUCCUCCUGGGAACCUAUCUAAACACCGUGUUUCCUGCUGACAGUGCAGCCAGUUUUCCCUCUGUUGCUGGAACAAUGAAUUAAUUUCCCUCAGUGAGAAUGUAUUAAGUAAAAUUCUGUAGGACACACAAAAGAAAUACCAGAUUUGAUCUCUGCUCUCAGCAAGACACAGAAACUAGCCUAUGUGACUCAGAGAACAUGGUCAAACAGGAUUGCAUGUGAGGGCAGAACGGUCUUUGGGCCUUGGAGGGCUAUGGGGAUGGAGAAGAGAGGAGGCCACUACAGGUCCGUCCGCUGUCGUGGACCCGUCUCCACGGGCUCUGACGCCCAGCUUGAGGUUUGGCCUGGACAGAGGCCCCUGCCCUUCCCCAGCGCCCACUCCAGCACCCCCCACCAGGUCCCCUGCACUCUCUGAUUUCCCUAGGGAGAGCAACUCAGAGGGGCUGGGGUGCAGCCAGGGUCCCCCAGGACAGCUGGCUGACAGGGCCCCUCUGGGACUCAGGGCUGGACCCCGGCGUCCGGGAGGCGGGUGACACCGGAGCUGUGACAGUUGGUCCCCAGAUU